This 253-nucleotide ribosomal RNA is filed under the name uncultured bacterium. RNAcentral describes it as "partial 16S ribosomal RNA". It matches the Rfam family "Bacterial small subunit ribosomal RNA", at positions 524 to 776 of the family's 1533-position model. The record is from RNAcentral.
UACGGAGGAUGCAAGCGUUAUCCGGAAUGAUUGGGCGUAAAGCGUCCGCAGGUGGCUAUGUAAGUCUGCUGUUAAAGAGCAAAGCUUAACUUUGUAAAAGCAGUGGAAACUACAUAGCUAGAGUGCGUUCGGGGCAGAGGGAAUUCCUGGUGUAGCGGUGAAAUGCGUAGAGAUCAGGAAGAACACCGGUGGCGAAGGCGCUCUGCUAGGCCGCAACUGACACUGAGGGACGAAAGCGUGGGGAGCAAACAGG